Molecule: ribosomal RNA, 431 nt
Filed under: uncultured bacterium
Lineage: Bacteria
Description: bacterial SSU rRNA
Rfam family: Bacterial small subunit ribosomal RNA
Source: RNAcentral
ACGAACGCUGGCGGCAUGCCUAACACAUGCAAGUCGAACGAGCUCUUCGGAGCUAGUGGCGCACGGGUGCGUAACGCGUGGGAAUCUGCCCUCUGGUUCGGAAUAACUCAGGGAAACUUGAGCUAAUACCGGAUAAUGACUUCGGUCCAAAGAUUUAUCGCCUGAGGAUGAGCCCGCGUAGGAUUAGCUUGUUGGUGAGGUAAAGGCUCACCAAGGCGACGAUCCUUAGCUGGUCUGAGAGGAUGAUCAGCCACACUGGGACUGAGACACGGCCCAGACUCCUACGGGAGGCAGCAGUGGGGAAUAUUGGACAAUGGGCGAAAGCCUGAUCCAGCAAUGCCGCGUGAGUGAUGAAGGCCUUAGGGUUGUAAAGCUCUUUUACCCGGGAUGAUAAUGACAGUACCGGGAGAAUAAGCCCCGGCUAACUCCGU